CCUACGGGAGGCAGCAGUGAGGAAUAUUGGUCAAUGGACGAGAGUCUGAACCAGCCAAGUAGCGUGAAGGAUGACUGCCCUAUGGGUUGUAAACUUCUUUUAUAAGGGAAUAAAACGAGGCACGUGUGCCUUUUUGCAUGUACUUUAUGAAUAAGCAUCGGCUAACUCCGUGCCAGCAGCCGCGGUAAUACGGAGGAUCCGAGCGUUAUCCGGAUUUAUUGGGUUUAAAGGGAGCGUAGAUGGGUUGUUAAGUCAGCUGUGAAAGUUUGUGGCUCAACCGUAAAAUUGCAGUUGAUACUGGCAGUCGUGAGUACAGUUGAGGUAGGCGGAAUGCGUGGUGUAGCGGUGAAAUGCAUAGAUAUCACGAAGAACCCCGAUUGCGAAGGCAGCUUACUAAACUGUGACUGACAUUGAGGCACGAAAGUGUGGGUAUCAAACAGGAUUAGAUACCCGGGUAGUC
RNAcentral lists this ribosomal RNA (460 nucleotides) under uncultured bacterium. RNAcentral describes it as "partial 16S ribosomal RNA". It matches the Rfam family "Bacterial small subunit ribosomal RNA", at positions 338 to 795 of the family's 1533-position model. The record is from RNAcentral.